AACGUAGGACGCAAGCGUUAUCCGGAGUUACUGGGCGUAAAGCGCGGGCAGGCGGCUCGAAACGUCUGAUGUGAAAUCUCCUCGCUCAACGGGGAGAGGCCAUUGGAAACGGUCGAGCUGGAGGGCAGUAGAGGCAGGCGGAAUUCCGGGUGGAGUGGUGAAAUGCGUAGAGAUCCGGAGGAACACCAGAGGCGAAGGCGGCCUGCUGGGCUGCACCUGACGCUGAGCCGCGAAAGCCAGGGGAGCGAACGGG
Molecule: ribosomal RNA, 253 nt
Filed under: uncultured bacterium
Lineage: Bacteria
Description: partial 16S ribosomal RNA
Rfam family: Bacterial small subunit ribosomal RNA
Source: RNAcentral